This is a long non-coding RNA of Mercenaria mercenaria, 1561 nucleotides long. RefSeq lists it as uncharacterized. The transcript is spliced from 4 exons. The record is from RefSeq and is a predicted model, not a curated record. NCBI's taxonomy places the organism in Eukaryota, Metazoa, Mollusca, Bivalvia, Venerida, Veneridae.
GGACGUACUUUAACCUCAACGUAGCCGUGAGUAGCUAUUAAUAAGAGUUACGUAUGUUGUCGUCCUUUAACGUACGUUCCCCAGUACUAAUUAACUAUGACGACCACUACGUUAAAGUAUGUUGUACUAUGUUACCCACUACUCCCAAGUACAUUAUAGAACGAUCAAAUAGGCUAAACUUCGUGCACGGUAGAUUCAAGUACAUUUUAACUCGGAAAUUACCGUUGGUGUUUAGCACGUUAACUACGUUAUUAACGGCUAAAAAGAACCAGACACAUACAAUAUAACUGAAUAAAAACAUUUGUUUUAAUACGAAAAGGACCAAUAAAAAUGUAAUUGUAGUGGAAUAUGAAGGAUUUUAUAUUCAAGAAACGGAAUAAUAUCGCCCCAUAUGUUGAUAAAGCUCUAAAAGACAUAAUCUGUUCAUAUUACAUUUUCUGAAAAUUAAUUACCACCAAAACACUUAAAAGUACUGCGACAGGCACAUUUUGCAAAAAUGCACCCUGUGUAGAGCUUUCAACUACCCAUGUUUGUCUGCAUUCUGUUAAAUAACACCAGUGUAUCAGCGAUAUCAAAAAUCCAGGCAUUUCAAUACAAGUGCAUGUGACGAUUCUACAGUUCAAUAAAGCCUGGAUAAAGAUACGUUAAAAUGAUAUACAUUUCCCUCUUUUCAAUUGUUUGGCAAAAUUCUCAUUAUAUACUGAACAUUUUUUGUAAGACAAACGGUGGCUGCAGUUCAAAGAGAACUUGAUCCAGAAGGUGUCCGACUUCGGCAACAUCGCCAGUUCACACGUAGAAUCUACAUCAAUAAAGGACCCAAUUACUUGGUGCAUAUCGAUGGAUACGAUAAGCUGAAGCCGUACGGUUUUCCCAUCCACGGGGCAAUAUGUGGAUUUUCUAGAAAAAUACUUCGGCUGAAAGUUGCCAGAUCUAACAACGAUCCAAAAAUUGUAGCGACCUUCUUUCUGGAGUAUUUAAAUGCUAUAAAUGAGAAUGCGUGCGUUUCUGCUUCAUUGACAUAAUACAGAAAGAGCUUGACCGAGUGCGAAUGGAAUGGAAUCAACAUGCAAUACGGAGAAAUGGACCUGAAGACUCCCCAAGCGGGAAACCAGACCUCAUGUACUAUAUGCCCGAGUUGUUUGGUGGUGUUGAUUACAAGGUUACGUUGAACCAGAGAGACCUUGAUCAAGUGUCAUCAGAAUUCUGUUAUGCGGGGCAUAAGCGAAACAGAAGCACAGUUUGAACGGGAAAUAAGACGAAAACAUUUGCGCAUGCCAGUUACAGCUGAUGAAGCAAUAGAAGUAUUUGGUGCCUUAAAUCCCGCUGUUUAGAACCAAACAACAGAACAUCAUUGUACUACAUAGUCACCCAGCAUACACUCUAAGCCUAAUACAAUGACAUUUGCUUAAAUAUGGCAAAGAAGUUAAUAUUAGCAAAAAAAGCUACUUUCAAAAGCAAUAAAACGUUUGUUUGUUAUUUCGUUUGGCUGUCUGUGUCAUCUGUACAGUUAUAUGCUGCCAUACAAGGCUGGUAAAUUUGUUUUUGUUGUAUAUAUCUUCGA